RNAcentral lists this ribosomal RNA (660 nucleotides) under uncultured archaeon. Its description in RNAcentral is "bacterial SSU rRNA". It matches the Rfam family "Archaeal small subunit ribosomal RNA", at positions 174 to 837 of the family's 1478-position model. The record is from RNAcentral.
AACGGUGGAGAGGUCAAAGCUCCGGCGGCGUAGGAUAGCUCUGCGGCCUAUCAGGUUGUAGCGAGGGUAACGUCCUCGCUAGCCUACGACGGGUAUGGGUGUUGGGAGACAUCGCCCAGAGAUGGAUUCUGAGACACGAAUCCAGGCCCUACGGGGCGCAGCAGGCGCGAAAACUGCACAAUGUGGGCAACCACGAUGCGGGAAACCCAAGUGCCAGCGCUAUGCGUUGGCUGUCCUCCAGUGUUCGUAACUGGGGAAGAAAGUGCUGGGUAAGACGGGUGCCAGCCGCCGCGGUAAUACCCGCAGCACAAGUGGUGGUCAUUAUUAUUGGGCCUAAAGCGUCCGUAGCUGGCUUGUUAGAUGCCUGGGUAAAUCGAUGCGCUCAACGCAUCGAACUCCGGGUAGACCGGCAAGCUUGGGACCGGGAGAGGCGUGAGCUACUCGAGGGGUAGGGGUAAAAUCCUGUAAUCCUUCGGGGAGGACCAGUGGCGAAGGCGUCACGCUAGAACGGCUCCGACAGUGAGGGACGAAGCCCUGGGGCGCAAACCGGAUUAGAUACCCGGGUAGUCCAGGGUGUAAACGCUGCAGACUUGGUGUCGGUGAUCCUACGAGGGUUGCCGGUGCCGUAGAGAAGUUGUUUAGUCUGCCGCCUGGGGAGUA